Molecule: long non-coding RNA, 1104 nt
Organism: Panicum virgatum (switchgrass)
Lineage: Eukaryota; Viridiplantae; Streptophyta; Magnoliopsida; Poales; Poaceae
Exons: 3
Source: RefSeq, a predicted model, not a curated record
UCCCAUCUUGACCGGUUAUCCCCGCUCCAUUGCCAUCCUGACCCGCUCCGAGCCUGCUGCGGGCGAAAGCAAUGGGCGUCGUCUUCCUCGGCGGAUGUAAUGCUCCGUCCCGCCUCCAUCGUGCCCAUCCCUUUUCUCCUUCUGCCGAAUCGCUCUGGUGCACACCAAAUCAAUCUUCCGCUCGUCAAAUCAAAGGAUAAUGCCAACUCCUUGCCUGAUUCCAUCCCCAAUCCUCAAUCUCCAUUCACUUGCUCGAUUCCCUGGUCAAUCAAUUGCAAAGCAUGUGUUGUGGAGUGAGAUCUGACAGCCGGAUGACGCUGCGGUAGGUGUCGUGUCGGAAGGGCCGCCCUGUCCCCGUGAACCCGUCGAUGAGGUGCGCAGGUACGCCUCCAGGUCGUGCCAGCAGGUGGGUCUUGCGUCCGGGCGGAGGCACGGCGAGUUCUUGCUGUUGAUCCGGAGCUCCGCGCCGAUGUGCUGGUACUGCUCCUUCUUGUGCGGCUGCCGCGGCGCCACUCUGGGCACCUUGGUGACCGCAUAGCCCGCGUUCACGAUGCGCAGGAGGUUGACCUUGCCGCAUCUGUUGAGCCUGUCCAUGAACGCGGAGUUGCCCACCUUGGGCCCGCCGAGGGAGAGCAUGGCGACGGGCGGCACAGAGGCCGAUGACCGUGCAGGGAAGCAGAAUUCGGAAAGAUUGAACCCAUACUUAUUCCAUUGUUCAAAAUACAGUAUGGUUCAAUUGGAUGGUUCAAUACAUUGAUGAUGCAAAGCUUCCAGGUUUUAGUACAGUAGCCCAGGAGGACUGGUGGAGCUGUAUAGUGUUUCUUGUCAUGUUGGAUGACUAAGAAGUUGAGAAAUUUCAUUUGUAAUUUUUGGGCACCAUUAAUCUAUUGUGGCCAUGGUUUUUUUUCAGCAAGCAAAUAACAGAGGAUCAAAUUUUUUGGGGCUAGAUAUAUUAAGAAAUAAAUUUAACUAGGAUUUCUUUUAGGGUUUUUCUUGAGUAGAUAAAAUUAAGGACUUGUGAUUUUUUAUAUAGAAACAUGGAUCAUGUGACUAACAUAUAUGGCGUGUUCAAAAAAGCAAAUAUACACUUAGGUGCUUUGUGUU